UUAUAAUUUAGUAACAAAGAACAAUUGCGAAAAGGCUGCCUUCUUGAAGCAAUGAAGUACAAUGAUGAGCUAGCGAGACUAAAUCACCAGUAUCAAUAAAAGUUAACCCAGUAAAAAAGAAGUGUACGAUCCUGGGUUAAGAUGGCGACCUAGUUAAUUCAGAACAUAAAAACGUGUUGACGUAGACGCCUUAUAUCUUAAAAAGAUAAAAUCAGACGAUAUAUGUCGGAGCUUAUUAGCAACUCUCGUCAUGAAGUGGAUCACAUUCUUCUCGACGACAGCAAGUGUACUAACACGGACCUAUUGAGUGAUAGUUGAUGGUUUAUUGCUGUAAACGAUCCUAAUGUAUUAUACAGACACCGCAAGAAGGAGCUGUUCCUUCGUCCAUG
Molecule: long non-coding RNA, 389 nt
Organism: Bolinopsis microptera
Lineage: Eukaryota; Metazoa; Ctenophora; Tentaculata; Lobata; Bolinopsidae
Exons: 4
Source: RefSeq, a predicted model, not a curated record